This 922-nucleotide ribosomal RNA is filed under the name uncultured Bacteroidota bacterium. RNAcentral describes it as "bacterial SSU rRNA". It matches the Rfam family "Bacterial small subunit ribosomal RNA", at positions 1 to 916 of the family's 1533-position model. The record is from RNAcentral. Lineage: Bacteria; Pseudomonadati; Bacteroidota.
GGAUCCAGACUUUGAUUAUGGCUCAGGAUGAACGCUAGCUACAGGCCUAACACAUGCAAGUCGAGGGGAAACGGCAGCUUAGCUUGCUAAGCUGGACGUCGACCGGCGCACGGGUGAGUAACGCGUAUCCAACCUGCCCCACGGUGAGGGAUAACCCGCGGAAACGCGGCCUAAUACCCCAUGGUCUCCGAGUUUGCCAUCAACCUUGGAGUAAAGAUUCAUUGCCGUGGGAUGGGGAUGCGUCUGAUUAGCUUGUUGGCGGGGCAACGGCCCACCAAGGCAACGAUCAGUAGGGGUUCUGAGAGGAAAGCCCCCCACAUUGGAACUGAGACACGGUCCAAACUCCUACGGGAGGCAGCAGUGAGGAAUAUUGGUCAAUGGGCGAGAGCCUGGACCAGCCAAGUAGCGUGCAGGAAGACGGCCCUAUGGGUUGUAAACUGCUUUUAUGCGGGGAUAAAGCGGGCGACGUGUCGCCCUUUGCAGGUACCGCAUGAAUAAGGACCGGCUAAUUCCGUGCCAGCAGCCGCGGUAAUACGGAAGGUCCGGGCGUUAUCCGGAUUUAUUGGGUUUAAAGGGAGCGCAGGCCGGGUAUUAAGCGUGUUGUGAAAUGUAGGCGCCCAACGUCUGCACCGCAGCGCGAACUGGUGCCCUUGAGUACGCACGACGUUGGCGGAAUUCGCCGUGUAGCGGUGAAAUGCUUAGAUAUGGCGAAGAACUCCGAUUGCGAAGGCAGCUGACGGGAGCGCUACUGACGCUCAUGCUCGAAAGCGCGGGUAUCGAACAGGAUUAGAUACCCUGGUAGUCCGCGCGGUAAACGAUGGAUGCCCGCUAUUUGCGCAUUAGCGCAAGUGGCCAAGUGAAAACGUUAGGCAUCCCACCUGGGGAGUACGCCGGCAACGGUGCAACUCAAAGGAAUUGACGG